UUGUGAAUAGAAGAUAGAGCCCGUACCGCAAACCGACACAGGUAGAUAGGAAGAAGAUUCUAAGGCCAACGGGAGAAGGGUUGUUAAGGAACUCGGCAAGUUGACCCCGUAACUUAGGGAGAAGGGGUGCUCUUUAAGGAGAGCCGCAGAGAAUAGGCCCAAGCGACUGUUUAGCAAAAACACAGCUCUAUGCUAAAUCGAAAGAUGACGUAUAUGGGGUGACACCUGCCCGGUGCCGGAAGGUUAAGAGGAGGAGUGAGAGCUCUGAAUUGAAGCCCCGGUAAACGGCGGCCGUAACGAUAACGGUCCUAAGGUAGCGAAAUUCCUUGUCAGGUAAGUUCUGACCCGCACGAAUGGUGUAACGAUUUGGGCACUGUCUCAACAACCUGCCCGGCGAAAUUGUAGUACCGGUGAAGAUGCCGGUUACCCGCGACUAGACGGAAAGACCCCAUGGAGCUUUACUGCAGCUUAAUAUUGAAUUUCGGUAUUUCAUGUACAGGAUAGGUGGGAGACAGGGAACCAUAGGCGUCAGCUUAUGGGGAGUCGACCUUGGGAUACCACUCUUGAGGUGCUGGAAUUCUAACCUGUGGCUCUGAAUCGAGUCAGGGGACAUUGUUAGGCGGGCAGUUUGACUGGGGCGGUCGCCUCCAAAAAGGUAACGCAGGCGCUCAAAGGUUCGCUCAGCAUGGAUGGAAACCAUGCUUUUGAGUGUAAACGCAAAAGCGAGCCUAACUGCGAGACUGACGGGUCGAGCAGUAACGAAAGUUGGAGUUAGUGAUCCGGCGGUAUGUGAGUGGAAAUGCCGUCGCUCAACGGAUAAAAGCUACCCUGGGGAUAACAGGCUGAUCUCCCCCAAGAGUCCACAUCGACGGGGAGGUUUGGCACCUCGAUGUCGGCUCAUCGCAUCCUGGGGCUGAAUUCGGUCCCAAGGGUUUGGCUGUUCGCCAAUUAAAGCGGUACGCGAGCUGGGUUCAGAACGUCGUGAGACAGUUCGGUCCCUAUCUGUCGUGGGCGUAGGAUAUUUGAAAGGAGCUGUCCCUAGUACGAGAGGACCGGGAUGGACGCACCGCUGGUGCACCAGUUGUCAUGCCAAUGGCACAGCUGGGCAGCUAUGUGCGGAACGGAUAAACGCUGAAGGCAUCUAAGCGUGAAGCCGACCUUAAGAUAAGAUAUCCCUUCGUAAGAGUAAGACCUCUCAUAGACUAUGAGUUUGAUAGGCCUAAGGUGUAAGCACAGUGAUGUGUUCAGCCUGCAGGUACUAAUCGGUCGAGGGCUUUUCCG
This 1281-nucleotide ribosomal RNA is filed under the name metagenome. RNAcentral's name for it is "bacterial LSU rRNA". It matches the Rfam family "Bacterial large subunit ribosomal RNA", at positions 1622 to 2925 of the family's 2925-position model. The record is from RNAcentral.